UACGUAGGUGGCAAGCGUUGUCCGGAAUUACUGGGUGUAAAGGGAGCGCAGGCGGGACUGCAAGUUGGAUGUGAAAUACCGCAGCUUAACUGCGGAGCUGCAUCCAAAACUGUAGUUCUUGAGUGGAGUAGAGGUAGGCGGAAUUCCGAGUGUAGCGGUGAAAUGCGUAGAUAUUCGGAGGAACACCGGUGGCGAAGGCGGCCUACUGGGCUUUUACUGACGCUGAGGCUCGAAAGCGUGGGUAGCAAACAGG
RNAcentral lists this ribosomal RNA (253 nucleotides) under uncultured bacterium. Its description in RNAcentral is "partial 16S ribosomal RNA". It matches the Rfam family "Bacterial small subunit ribosomal RNA", at positions 524 to 776 of the family's 1533-position model. The record is from RNAcentral.